Molecule: ribosomal RNA, 503 nt
Filed under: uncultured bacterium
Lineage: Bacteria
Description: bacterial SSU rRNA
Rfam family: Bacterial small subunit ribosomal RNA
Source: RNAcentral
GAACGCUGGCGGCGUGCUUAACACAUGCAAGUCGAACGAGAAAGUGGACUUCGGUCCGCGAGUAAAGUGGCGCGCGGGUGAGUAACGCGUGAAUAAUCUACCCCUGAAUUUGGGAUAACAGUUCGAAAGGGCUGCUAAUACCGGAUAACAUUGUCUUUUUUUACGGAUUAGACAAUCAAAGAGGGCCUCUCCUUGGAAGCUUUUGUUUGGGGAUGAGUUCGCGUCCCAUUAGUUAGUUGGUGAGGUAACGGCUCACCAAGACAUCGAUGGGUAGCUGGUCUGAGAGGAUGAUCAGCCACACUGGAACUGACACACGGUCCAGACUCCUACGGGAGGCAGCAGUGAGGAAUUUUGCGCAAUGGGCGAAAGCCUGACGCAGCAACGCCGCGUGAGUGAUGAAGGCUCUUGGGUCGUAAAGCUCUGUCAAGUGGGAAGAAACCUCUUGGAGUUAAUACCUUCAAGAAUUGACGGUACCACUGAAGGAAGCACCGGCUAACUCCGUG